Vespula vulgaris is the source of this 990-nucleotide long non-coding RNA. RefSeq lists it as uncharacterized. The transcript is spliced from 3 exons. The record is from RefSeq and is a predicted model, not a curated record. NCBI's taxonomy places the organism in Eukaryota, Metazoa, Arthropoda, Insecta, Hymenoptera, Vespidae.
GUUUACAUUCCCGAUUAGGAACGGCUUGGAGCGUAGAAUUUUCUUAUAUAUCAAGUUAAAAUUAUUUUAUAUUCAAUAUACGAUUACAUACAUAUAAAUAUGUGAUGUUUAACUAAUUUUUACUGUAACAAGAAGUAACAUACCAUUAUUUACAUCAGUACGUUCAACGAAUAUCGAUUCAUGAUUUUCGUCAUUAUCAAAUGCUGUACCCGAUUGAAAGAUUAAGAAUGAAGUUCUUCUAUUUUCGGAUGAAGAUUAAUAGCAUCAACUUCUACUUGAUUUUUAUUCUCCAUAUCUUCCUUAAAACGUUUUAUUGCAUCUUUACUUUCUUCAUUAAAUUUAUGCUUCCUUUUUCUUGUUCCAUAUGGCUUUUUAAAUACGUAUUUAGAUUUUAAACAUCUGUUGUAUAAGAAUAGAUAGAUAUAUAUUAUUUUGUAAGAAAAAUUACAUUAACGUUUUAUCUGGUUAUCAAACAUUAUUACUUUAACGGACUAGUUUUAAUUUUAUUCUUUAAAGUUUCAAAAAAAUGAGUGUCAUCUUCAUCAUUUUUGUUUUCUAACAUUGGUUGUAUCAAAGAUUUAUGAGAUAAAUUUUGUCGAGUAAUGGCGGGAGAACAUAUGAUCCCUAAUGAAAAUAAGUUUCUUCUGAAUAAAAAUUAUACAGAAUAAUUGUAGAAAUAAUUAAUAUUAAUAUUUGGAAUAUAAAUACUUGAACAGAUGGAAUUUAAUUUUUCCGGAUCCAUGGUAGAAGCCUUUGUUUUUGAUGAUAUAGAUUCAUACGAGUUCAUUUGUCAUUUGUACAAAUUAAUAAUUAGAAUAACAGAUGAAACUUCUUCAAUUGUUACUUCAAUUGUUAAUAUUACAUCACUAAAUUAUGACAAUUAAUGUAAUAAAAUUUUAAAUAUAACACAAAUAUUUCAAAUAUAAUAUAAAAAAAUAAGUGAUAGUUUAAUAAAAAAGAUAUAGUCAAAAAUGAAUAAGAAAUAAAGAA